GAAUUGCUAGUAAUCGCGGAUCAGCAUGCCGCGGUGAAUACGUUCUCGGGCCUUGUACACACCGCCCGUCACACCAUGGGAGUCGGUAACACCCGAAGUCUGUAGCCUGACGCAGGAGGGCGCAGCCGAAGGUGGGAUUGAUGACUGGGGUGAAGUCGUAACAAGGUACC
RNAcentral lists this ribosomal RNA (170 nucleotides) under uncultured bacterium. RNAcentral describes it as "partial 16S ribosomal RNA". It matches the Rfam family "Bacterial small subunit ribosomal RNA", at positions 1329 to 1500 of the family's 1533-position model. The record is from RNAcentral.